RNAcentral lists this long non-coding RNA (368 nucleotides) under Numida meleagris (helmeted guineafowl). RNAcentral describes it as "lncRNA (ENSNMEG00000019190.1)". The record is from RNAcentral. Lineage: Eukaryota; Metazoa; Chordata; Aves; Galliformes; Numididae.
UUUACCCCUCAAAUUCUUGGUUCUGGACUCGUGCAACAAAAAGAAGGAAAAGUUGUCUAUCAUUUACUUCAAAAGAGCCUGUGUUUUGCUGUUCAUAUUCAGAAUCUCUGCCCUCUCAAUUCCAGCCUCCAAUACGGAUGCCAAGGUAAUUUAUUUUGCAUCACUGUAUUAUAAUAUUGAGGACAGAUGCUUUGGCCCCUUGCCUCAACUCUGCAGACAGUUCACCUUAUUUAUAUGAGUACUUCCUAUAAAUCCCAGAAGUCUCAAAGGUAUGGUGAAUACACAUAAUACUGUUGGAUCAGGGCCCUCAUCUUAACUCCUUAUGCUCACUGGAUGCAUUUUUUUUCCUUUUGCUGCCCGACUCCUUG